This is a non-coding RNA of Crucibulum laeve, 104 nucleotides long. NCBI's taxonomy places the organism in Eukaryota, Fungi, Basidiomycota, Agaricomycetes, Agaricales, Nidulariaceae. The record is from the annotation of a GenBank genome assembly.
UGUCCCAUGGCUUAGUUGGUUACGGCGUCCGACUGUUAUAGUAUAGCAAUCACCAUGAAAAAUUUGACAUCGGAAGAUCGAGAGUUCAAGUCUCUCUGGGACAG